Long non-coding RNA from Chenopodium quinoa (quinoa), 424 nucleotides. RefSeq lists it as uncharacterized. The transcript is spliced from 2 exons. The record is from RefSeq and is a predicted model, not a curated record. Lineage: Eukaryota; Viridiplantae; Streptophyta; Magnoliopsida; Caryophyllales; Amaranthaceae.
CAUUCUUCUUCUCUCUCCUCCCCUUAUUUCUCACGCCCCUUCUUCCUUCAUUUCUCACUCCUCUACUCUCUCCAUCUCCUUCGUUCUCUUUCUGCUCUUUCCUUCUCCUUUCUUAAGCCUCCCUUUGUUUUCUCUCUCCUCUUAUCACUGGCAAAAAUCCGAGGAGAAAACGAGCAAAAUCCGAGCAGGUAUUUCAAUUUAAUUUUGAUUUUUGUUGGAUGCGAGGUGGCGUCGGUUGCGGUAGUGGGCUGCUGGCUUCUGUUAAAUGUGUUAAUUGCUGGCGUCGGAUGGUGGCGGGCUGGUGGCUUUGACUGCGGUGGUGGCGGAAUAGGGUGGUGGUGAUUUUGGUUGUAAUAUUUUUUGGUGGUGAAUUAUAAUGUAAUAAUAUUACAAUUAGUUAUUAAUGGAAAUAUAAAUUUUUAUA